RNAcentral lists this transfer RNA (72 nucleotides) under Ictidomys tridecemlineatus (thirteen-lined ground squirrel). RNAcentral's name for it is "Spermophilus tridecemlineatus (thirteen-lined ground squirrel) tRNA". It matches the Rfam family "tRNA". From Rfam's summary of the family: Transfer RNA (tRNA) molecules are approximately 80 nucleotides in length. Their secondary structure includes four short double-helical elements and three loops (D, anti-codon, and T loops). Lineage: Eukaryota; Metazoa; Chordata; Mammalia; Rodentia; Sciuridae. The record is from Rfam by way of RNAcentral.
UGAGUUUUAACUCAGUGGGAGGGUGCUUGCCUAGCAUGUGUGAGGCCCUGAGUUCAAUUCUCAGUACCUCAU